AUACGUAGGGGACGAGCGUUGUCCGGAAUGAUUGGGCGUAAAGGGAGCGUAGGCGGCCCGGUAAGUCUGGAGUGAAAGUCCUGUUUUUAAGAUGGGAAUUGCUUUGGAUACUGUCGGGCUUGAGUGCAGGAGAGGUAAGUGGAAUUCCUAGUGUAGCGGUGAAAUGCGUAGAGAUUGGGAGGAACACCAGUGGAGAAGGCGACUUACUGGACUGUAACUGACGCUGAGGCGCGAAAGUGUGGGGAGCAAACAGGAUUAGAUACCCUGGUAGUCCACACUGUAAACGAUGAAUGCUAGGUGUAGGGGGUAUCGACCCCUUCUGUGCCGAAGUAACACAAUAAGCAUUCCGCCUGGGGAGUACGGCCGCAAGGUUGAAACUCAAAGGAAUUGACGGGG
RNAcentral lists this ribosomal RNA (396 nucleotides) under uncultured bacterium. Its description in RNAcentral is "partial 16S ribosomal RNA". It matches the Rfam family "Bacterial small subunit ribosomal RNA", at positions 523 to 918 of the family's 1533-position model. The record is from RNAcentral.